Podarcis raffonei (Aeolian wall lizard) is the source of this 1046-nucleotide long non-coding RNA. RefSeq lists it as uncharacterized. Lineage: Eukaryota; Metazoa; Chordata; Lepidosauria; Squamata; Lacertidae. The transcript is spliced from 5 exons. The record is from RefSeq and is a predicted model, not a curated record.
UGCCCGCCUCUGGACGCGGGGGGAGCUUGGCUGAUGCAACGUGGCCACGCUUGCAAGGCUCCGAGCUCCCUCGCCUGUUCUCCAGGUGUCACGACGGAACGGACGCGUCCGGAUCGCACCCCGAGGUGCUGGAGCGAACCCAGUGCUGUGGCAGACAGUCCUGAGCCCUAAACUGUGACUUCCAAGGCAACAAACAAGAUUGCUACACCAAGGAGAUAUAAUUUGUGAACUUAAGAAGCCAAGGACUGGGAGGACAGAAAAUGAGAGUGGGCAUGCUGCUGUAAACUGUUUUCCCCCCUGUUGCAUGCUUAGAUGAGCACAUAAGAUACCUCCGCUGCAUGCAAUUAGCUCUGCCGAACCAUGCCUGGGAGCCUUUGCAGGGAGACGGCUGGCACUGCCCGAUAGGCAGGCAGGAGCUGUCCUGUGCCAACGCUGCCCCUUUCCUGAACCCUUUCUCUCCCUGCCCCCACUCCGUGAGCUGGCACACAUUCCUUCCUUUCAUAUCUGACCUUGGCCACCACUACGUCUGUGAAGGCUGGAAUCCUUUUUUGCUUUGGAGAGGAGUCGGCAAGCGUGUGUGCCUGUGUGCGCAUCUCGUAGCAUAUGCAAUUCACGGAGCCUACGGGACACUGUCUCCACCCACCUUCACAUGUGUGAAUCUUUGUAUGCAUAUAGCGUCCAAACUCUUUUAAUUGGCUGUGAUUGAGGGUAGGCACAGACGACGCACGGGCAAAGUGAGAACCCCUCUUUGUAUGAGUGGGUUGUCCGUAUGUUCGUGCAUGAACUGAUCGAGUGAUGUGUGUGAGCUUAGUUCGUGUUUCAGUGCAUCAGUCCCAUAGAGAAUUUUGUAGGCAUGUGCACCUGCGACUGCACAACAGUGUGAGGGCCGAAGUUCUGUGUGCUAAGGGUAAUUGACACACACGAAUGCCCACAUCUGUGAGAGAGGUUUGCUAAUGUGCAAGGAGUGUAUACACUUUUAGCAGUUCACUUUCCGUUUCCCUGGUCCCAUGGUGCACGUGAGCCUGUGCUAGUUGUAGGAGAAGAGU